GACGAACGCUGGCGGCGUGCCUAAUACAUGCAAGUUGAGCGCUGAAGGUUGGUACUUGUACCAACUGGAUGAGCAGCGAACGGGUGAGUAACGCGUGGGGAAUCUGCCUUUGAGCGGGGGACAACAUUUGGAAACGAAUGCUAAUACCGCAUAAAAACUUUAAACACAAGUUUUAAGUUUGAAAGAUGCAAUUGCAUCACUCAAAGAUGAUCCCGCGUUGUAUUAGCUAGUUGGUGAGGUAAAGGCUCACCAAGGCGAUGAUACAUAGCCGACCUGAGAGGGUGAUCGGCCACAAUGGGACUGAGACACCGCCCAAACUCCUACGGGAGGCAGCAGUAGGAAAUCUUCGGCAAUGGACGAAAGUCUGACCGAGCAACGCCGCGUGAGUGAAGGAGGUUUUCGGAUCGUAAAACUCUGUUGGUAGAGAAGAACGUUGGUGAGAGUGGAAAGCUCAUCAAGUGACGGUAACUACCCAGAAAGGGACGGCUAACUACGUG
RNAcentral lists this ribosomal RNA (497 nucleotides) under uncultured bacterium. Its description in RNAcentral is "partial 16S ribosomal RNA". It matches the Rfam family "Bacterial small subunit ribosomal RNA", at positions 28 to 507 of the family's 1533-position model. The record is from RNAcentral.